GUAGGUGGCAAGCGUUGUCCGGAAUUAUUGGGCGUAAAGCGCGCGCAGGUGGGUUCUUUAAGUCUGAUGUGAAAGCCCCCGGGCUCAACCGGGGAGGGUCAUUGGAAACUGGGGAACUUGAGUGCAGGAGAGGAAAGUGGAACUCCACGUGUAGCGGUGAAAUGCGUAGAUAUGUGGAGGAACACCAGUGGCGAAGGCGACUUUCUGGCCUGUAACUGACACUGAGGCGCGAAAGCGUGGGGAGCAAACAGGAUUAGAUACCCUGGUAGUCCACGCCGUAAACGAUGAGUGCUAAGUGUUGGGGGGUUUCCGCCCCUCAGUGCUGCAGCUAACGCAUUAAGCACUCCGCCUGGGGAGUACGGUCGCAAGACUG
This 373-nucleotide ribosomal RNA is filed under the name uncultured organism. Its description in RNAcentral is "partial 16S ribosomal RNA". It matches the Rfam family "Bacterial small subunit ribosomal RNA", at positions 527 to 896 of the family's 1533-position model. The record is from RNAcentral.